AUGAGCGAGAUCAGUGAAGCGUCCUUACUGGAUUAUAUCCGCUCCUCAGGAGGAAAAGUCAAAAAUUCUGAUCUGUCCAAAACAUAUAAGCAUUUCAUAAACCAUAGCGAUUUGCAACUACGUGCCAAAUACAGAGAAGAGUUCAAGCUCAUCAUUGAUAGAAUUGCAGUGGUGAAAUCGGAGAAUGGGGAGAAAUAUCUCAUCCUCAAGAAGAAAUACAGGCAAGAGCAAGUGUCUGGCACUAAAAAGGGAGGUGAAUCAAUCAAGCCGCUUCAUCCAAACCCACAAAAUGAGCUCCUGGUUUCCAACCCAAUGCAGAACCGUAGCCAAGCAGCUAAGACCCCGCAGCCAGUGAUGGUGGCCUGGUGCUCAGGACCCAUGAUUACAGUCACAGACGCACAAGAGCCCACGGAUAUUGAUGAUCUGGAUCCUCUUGAGAAAGAGUGGAUUUUCUCGGCAGCGAGUGGCAAACUGUGCCAUCUCACUCAGCUUCUAAAACAAGACUCCUCCCUGGCCAAUAAAAAGGUGCGAAGAACAGCGUUACAUUGGGCUGCAAAACAUGGUAAAGAAGACAUGACCACAGCGUUGGUAGAGGCAGGAGCAGACAUCAAUACGAAAGCAGGAUACACACCUUUACACAUCGCAGCGCUACAUGGACAUCGGCAUAUAGUGGACCUGCUGGUCAGGACAUAUGGAGCGAAGGAGAACCUGCGGGACUACAGUGGCCGCUUACCAUAUUAUUACCUCAAUUUACGGGACACACACUCAGAAGAGCACGACCUCUGUGAGUUAAACUCAACUCUUGUUUUUCUGCCCGGCGAGCGCAGGAACAGGAAGAUCAGCUCUUUAUUUCAGUCCAUGAAGAGGUGGGGUUCGGCGGAGGAGCUGGCGCCCGUCCCGGAGGAGAGAACUGUCCCGCAUCAACUCAUGCUGCCUGCUUUCAGACCUCGAAAGUUUUCACGGUAG
Non-coding RNA from Danio rerio (zebrafish), 966 nucleotides. NCBI's taxonomy places the organism in Eukaryota, Metazoa, Chordata, Actinopteri, Cypriniformes, Danionidae. The record is from Ensembl.